CAUGAGAUGUGAUGGACCUGUGACUGCCAGGAGGCCCCCUGGCCACUUGUGCGGCUGACUCCUGGUGCCUGUGUCCCUUCAGUUGUGCGGGCACUAUGCCUGCGCCAUUGACGAGUGUUUGCGUGGUGCUACCCGUGCCUCGGGAAGUUGCAUUGUCAACAUGUUUCCUUCGUUGCGUGCACCCUCUGGGCUGUACGCGUCGACUAUAUAGCACUAGCGGCGUUGCCUCAUGGUACAAACCACAUAGGCUUGCACCACCAUGGCCACCUCGCCUGUGCUAUUGGUCUUGGAUGACGCUUACGCUGCAGUACGAGGCUGCUUCGGCGCCUCGUGCCUAAAAAAGUUGGCAAUUCUGAAACAACGACAGCCGGCUCGGUUGAUGCCCUGUGCAUAAGCCGAUGUUGGCUCGUCGAUGAGGACGUGCU
RNAcentral lists this unclassified non-coding RNA (425 nucleotides) under Dichanthelium oligosanthes. RNAcentral's name for it is "partial external transcribed spacer". Lineage: Eukaryota; Viridiplantae; Streptophyta; Magnoliopsida; Poales; Poaceae. The record is from RNAcentral.